GACGAACGCUGGCGGCGUGCCUAAUUCAUGCAAGUUGAGCGAUGAAGCUUGGUGCUUGCACCAAUUUGAAGAGCAGCGAACGGGUGAGUAACGCGUGGGGAAUCUGCCUUUGAGCGGGGGACAACAUUUGGAAACGAAUGCUAAUACCGCAUAACAACUUUAAACAUAAGUUUUAAGUUUGAAAGAUGCAAUUGCAUCACUCAAAGAUGAUCCCGCGUUGUAUUAGCUAGUUGGUGAGGUAAAGGCUCACCAAGGCGAUGAUACAUAGCCGACCUGAGAGGGUGAUCGGCCACAUUGGGACUGAGACACGGCCCAAACUCCUACGGGAGGCAGCAGUAGGGAAUCUUCGGCAAUGGACGAAAGUCUGACCGAGCAACGCCGCGUGAGUGAAGAAGGGUUUCGGAUCGUAAAACUCUGUUGGUAGAGAAGAACGUUGGUGAGAGUGGAAAGCUCAUCAAGUGACGGUAACUACCCAGAAAGGGACGGCUAACUACGUG
Molecule: ribosomal RNA, 497 nt
Filed under: uncultured bacterium
Lineage: Bacteria
Description: partial 16S ribosomal RNA
Rfam family: Bacterial small subunit ribosomal RNA
Source: RNAcentral